Molecule: long non-coding RNA, 1185 nt
Filed under: Panax ginseng (ginseng)
Lineage: Eukaryota; Viridiplantae; Streptophyta; Magnoliopsida; Apiales; Araliaceae
Description: long non-coding RNA (PGIN_LNC015835)
Source: RNAcentral
UAUCGACAAAAGAGAGAAAACCUCUUCUUUGGUUGAGGUUCAGCUGUGGAGGUGUGGCUGACUGAAUUUAUCUCCCCGCUUUGCCUGUCGGUGGUUCGGCGCUUCAUUUUCCCUACCAAAUUUACGGUAACUUUCAGGUUAUCCACUCCUAUAGACCUACGUCUUAUUCCCCAAUUCGCUUGCAUUCGCCUAUGGAAAUCUCUCUUUGAUAUAUAAAUAAACAAUUGCACACAUAUAUGUACAUGUGUAUAUAUUUAAUUAUUUAUCUUGUACGAGAAUUUUGUGAUCCACAAACACAAAACUAAACAUACAUUUUGAACAAUUUAUUUAAUAACGAGUUUGAGUAUGUUGAUUUGAUCAAGAGGGAAAAGUUGAUGUUAAAAGGUUCAAAGCUAUGAGGGAAAGUUUUUAAUUGAACUUAUUGUCUUGCUACUGGUAAUUUGUGGUUUACAAGGGCCAGGGGCCCAGGAGAGAAAUUAAUCAGUAGGUAUGACAUUAGAUACAUAUAUUCCCACGGAUUUCAGAACCUCGGCACCCUUCUAUGUUACGAAGUGAGGAAUCUAAAUCAUAUAUACAUCAAUGCAUAUCUUUACGUAGAUAUUUACAUUCCAUGAAGCUAAUGCAUUAUCAGAAUUAUUUACUAAAAAUACUUUCUAUGCUUCUUUUGCCUUUUCUGCCUUGUUCUGUUUUUUAGGUAUUUUUGUCGUUCAUCCCUUGGAGAGUUUGGAAAUUGCCUACAAUGAGAAGGCAGCAUUUAUUUUUGAUGGAUGAGAGUUCAUGAUCUAUGAGACCUGGCCUUUUAUUUGUUCAAUUGGAAAGUAAGCUAGUGGUUGACUGGUAGUUCAUCUUAUGCAGCAUUUAUAGGCAUAGUGCGCUGUAAUACCUAAUGGGAGCGCCAUGUGUCUCUGAAGUUUUCCCAUUAAGAUAUUAGUUCAUAGGUGUCAUUGUCAUUUUAAUAAUUCACAAUAAUCUUGAAAUAAUGGAUGUUUAAGGGACUAAAAUUUAAUUACUAGUCCCUGAGUCGUCUUGUGAGAGAAAUAUAGAGCUCGUGAUAAUAUAAUUGUAAUUUGAAACUUGUAUAUAAUUUCACAAUAAUGAAUUUACUUGAUUAAAGGCAAUUCUCGUCAUUAUCAAUUCUUUGACUAUUUUCCAAGGCUUUAAAGCAUCACCGAGGUUGUUCUGGAU